RNAcentral lists this ribosomal RNA (433 nucleotides) under uncultured bacterium. RNAcentral's name for it is "partial 16S ribosomal RNA". It matches the Rfam family "Bacterial small subunit ribosomal RNA", at positions 29 to 507 of the family's 1533-position model. The record is from RNAcentral.
AGCGAACGCUGGCGGCAGGCCUAACACAUGCAAGUCGAACGAACUCUCCGGAGUUAGUGGCGGACGGGUGAGUAACACGUGGGAAGGUGCCUUUUUGUUCGGAAUAACUCAGGGAAACUUGUGCUAACACCGAAUGUGCUCUUCGGGGGAAAGAUUUAUCGCCAUUGGAGAGGCACGCGUCUGAUUAGCUUGUUGGUGAGGUAACGGCUCACCAAGGCGACGAUCAGUAGCUGGUCUGAGAGGAUGACCAGCCACACUGGGACUGAGACACGGCCCAGACUCCUACGGGAUGCAGCAGUGGGGAAUCUAGCGCAAUGGGCGAAAGCCUGACGCAGCCAUGCCGCGUGAAUGAUGAAGGUCUUAGGAUAGUAAAAUUCUUUCACCGGGGACGAUAAUGACGGUACCCGGAGAAGAAGCCCCGGCUAACUUCGUG